GCCCUAGAAGGAAGUGGUGAUGACUAUGUUCCCCCAACAUCUCUUAAAUCUCUAAAUCCUUACAAUUCCAAGAAAGGAAUUACAAACCCAAUUCAUCUUCUCUCUCUCUCUUCACAAACCAGUCGAAACACCCCCAUAUCACCUACAUUUCAAAAAUUUUAACAUUGUUAUUGAGGAUUCAAACUCAUUACAAGGUCUUUAUGAGUCCAUAUGGUGAUCUAGAAGUGAUUUCAAUGUGUUUCAAGCCAUAAUCAAGUCCAAUAUCACCAAAUUUUACUAAAAAUCAUUCAAGAACUUGAAGGUGCUUGAGUUCGGCUUCGGAAAUUAUGGCGUAUCUUGUGGUUGUUGAUGCAUGUUUGGUUUGAUAAUGUUUUGGACAAACUUUAAAAAAACUACUUUAUAAUACAUAUUCGAAGGAUAAAAUUGGAAAAAAAAAAUUGUACUUAAAACAUACUCAAUGCACAAUGUACAAGACUUAAAGCACCAAAAAACACAAAACAUUUACCCUUCACCCGGAUCCAUCAUCUACCGUCUAUUUUCUUUCAAUUCUUCACACGGAUCGUGAUCUGACGGAUGACUUUGUUUUCACACGGAUCCAGCUUUCCCCUUCCUUCUCUCUCAUCUCUCUCACAACUCACAUCCUCUGCUUUCUCUCUCUAUGGCGAUUGGGCGACUUCAUCAGGCCUCUCUCUCGGAUCUCGCCAGAUCUCUCACCAGAUCUGUGAGGAUUUCACCAGAUCGAUCGAUGAAGGUAACCUCCUUUUCUCUCUCUCUCUCUCUCUCUCUCUCUCUCUCUCUCUCUCUCAAAUUCAUAAACAACCUCGGGGUGCUGUACAAUCGAUUUUAGGGUUUGCCAUUUCAUAAACAACCGCGGGGUGCUGUACCACUUGAUGUGCGAGAUUGAAGGCAACCACCUCACUGCUGCCGCUAUUAUCGGUCAUGACGGCACCGUUUGGGCUCAAUCCGCUAAUUUCCCUCAGUAAGGAGUGUUGAGGAUGUCUGGAUUGCUUAUCGCGAUUGUAAGGGGGUUUAGGAUUGUUUAUUAAACCAUUUUUAUCAGCUUAUCGCGUUUCGAUAUCCAGUAAGCAGUUUUGAGGGUGUUUGGAUUGGAGAUAUGGUUCGAAUAUCGAAAAAGACAAAUGGGGCAAGAUGAUGCAAGAGGCUCUAUGCCUUCUGAUGAGGUACAUUAUUGCUUGUUUUACUACAUCUCCACCAUUAUAUAAAUUAUGACUUAAAUAUUUAUUAACAACUGUAAGCAUUUCAACACAACUCAAUUGUGUGUAUAAAAUUUUGAAAAAGAAGUUUGCAGCUUUUGAAAUUGGCAUCAUGUGUUGUACUGUUGUGCCAGUUUCCCUUUUGGCUCUUGAUGAGAUUUCAUACCGAGAGUGAGUGUUUAGCAUGUGAACUCUAAAAUAUUAUGUCUCUUCUUAUCAUAUAACUGAAUUACAUAUAAAUUUGAUUACCUUUUGUACGUGUUUUGAAAAUGGUUUGUUCAACUUGAUUGUCGAUUAACAUGUCUAAGGAAAGAUCGAUUAACUAAUUCUUAUGUAGAUUAGUUAUGGUUUUGAAUUAUAUUUUGAACCUGUUAACUUUUUGUGAGGUAAGGUAUCUGAUUAAAUGUUGGUGUAGAAGCUCCUCCUAAGGUCCAUGAAGAGACAGGAUCAUACGAAGCAAAUAUCUUUACCAGGAAAUCUAUAACUAAUUCGAGUCGGAGGACAUUUUAGUUUUAAACCGGCUCAGCAUGCGCAGCCGCAACGGCAGCGAACGCAGCUGCAUCGGCUCAGCAUGCGCAGCCGCAGCCGCAACCGCACACUGCUGCAUCGGCUCAGCAUGCGCAGCCGCACCGGCGCAGCGAGCGCAGCCGCGUCUGUAUCACCGAGCGCAACCCCAACGAGCCCGACGCAGCCGCAUCUGUAUCACCGAGCGCAACCGCAUCUUUAAUACUUACUUGUUUAUUACAGUAGGUUAACUGGCUAACCUCUUUUUUUCUUUUCAGAUAACAAGAAUCGAGUAUGUUCAUUCUAAAGGGAUAUGAAGAAGAUCAGGAGGAUAAUGAAGAAGAGGAAGGAGGACUGAGUCAAUCUGGAAAAGAGUUGAGGAAGCUGCUCGGGAAAAAUAGUGGGGUCAAUGAAUCCGAGCCAGAGCAAGAGGACGAUGACGACGAUGAUAUUGAUGACGAAAGUUCCCUGUUCUUGCACCAAAGGCUAAUAAUAACGGGGUCCAUCAAAGCUUAAUAACAACCCUCUUAAAGAGGAACCCGUCGAUAAUAGCCCCUCAAAGCCAGCAGCUGCUACAACAUCAGCUCGGGGAACCCCAUCUUCAAAUAAGUCGGCUAAGGGAAAACGAAAAAGCACCGAGAGAACAAACCGUCAAAUGGUGCCCUCACAGCUUAAAAGAAAGUCAAAACCGAAAAUGACGUGAAACAUGUAAAGGAGGAGCCUGCAAAGGCCGGUAAAGGUUCAUCAAUGUGGCCAUGAGCAUCAACCCUGAAGCGAAAAUGUAUUCAUUCCCAUCAUCAUGUGUUGGGGGAGUAGGACGAAUUGGAGCACCAAGUAGAAGAGAAGUUGGUCACUGUACACUAGCAGAACGAGCCCUAAAAUAUAGUAUAGCUGAUGAUAUUACUGAAAUUUAAUGAUGCAGGUUGCUGGCAAUGAAGAUAGAGUAACAACAUUUCAAUUUCAAAUGGAUAUAAAGGUAGGUGGAAUUAUUUUGUCAACAAUGAAUCAGGCUUUUCUGCAAGCAAAGGAAUGAUAGUGUUGUCUUGAAAAGCUACUACAGCUUGAGAAGGAAAAGGGAGAGAACAUUGCUGCUGAACUGGGCACCGUUUGAAGUUACUUGCGCAAAUUGCAAAAGACGAAUUUUGUACCGCUUCAAACCCAAGAUCCAUGGCUGAACAAUUUACAACAAUGUCAUGCAAAUGGUUUGCCAUCCUCAUGGGUCAAUAAAAGAUUCUUUUUGUUCCACCACCAGCAAGAGAUCCAAGAUUGUUUUUUUGACUUUUGUUUCGUUUACGUAUGGAUUGACUUAGAAAUUGUUGUUUGCUUUACUUAUGAAUUGAUUUUGAAAUGGUUGUUUGAUAUUGUGUUGGCUGCUUCA
This is a long non-coding RNA of Helianthus annuus (common sunflower), 3096 nucleotides long. RefSeq lists it as uncharacterized. Lineage: Eukaryota; Viridiplantae; Streptophyta; Magnoliopsida; Asterales; Asteraceae. The record is from RefSeq and is a predicted model, not a curated record. The transcript is spliced from 9 exons.